RNAcentral lists this ribosomal RNA (252 nucleotides) under Paraprevotella clara YIT 11840. RNAcentral's name for it is "partial 16S ribosomal RNA". It matches the Rfam family "Bacterial small subunit ribosomal RNA", at positions 524 to 776 of the family's 1533-position model. Lineage: Bacteria; Pseudomonadati; Bacteroidota; Bacteroidia; Bacteroidales; Prevotellaceae. The record is from RNAcentral.
UACGGAAGAUGCGAGCGUUAUCCGGAUUUAUUGGGUUUAAAGGGAGCGUAGGCGGGCUUUUAAGUCAGCGGUCAAAUGCCACGGCUCAACCGUGGCCAGCCGUUGAAACUGCAAGCCUUGAGUCUGCACAGGGCACAUGGAAUUCGUGGUGUAGCGGUGAAAUGCUUAGAUAUCACGAAGAACUCCGAUCGCGAAGGCAUUGUGCCGGGGCAACACUGACGCUGAGGCUCGAAAGUGCGGGUAUCAAACAGG